AUGAUCACCUCGACGCAGCAGGGGUGGUUGCCGGCCGGCUACUGGCCGCUCUGGAGCUCUCGUCGGAAGCUGCCGAGGCCGCCGUGGUACGUCGCCGGCGGUCGUGUCCCCUCUGCGACGGCAAAGACGGCGACGGCCAAACCUCCGAUCGACGGCCAAAACUACGGCCAAAGCGCGGGCGUGGUGGCGUCCAUGUCGAGAUGUGGUUUGGUAGGGACGGCCGGGGGCUGCGCGGUGAGGAGGCGGCCGGAGAAUAGCGGCGUCGCCGGCGGCGGGGCGGGGCGGGAGAGAGAGGGUGGAAGCGUUGGGAGCGGAGGGACUGCUAUGGAGCCGCUGCAACAACUGCUCAUCAAUGCAGUGCAAGAGGGGACGUUAUCCAAGUUCAAAGGCAGGGUGUCGGAGUUCAGCACCUCCAUGUAUGCCGACGACGUUGCAAUAUUCCUCAACCCUGUCAGGCAAGAGGUGCUUACUCUCAUAUCGAUCCUCCGCGCCUUUGGCGACGCCACGAGACUCAUAGUUGACUUCAGCAAAAGCAUGUUGCGCAAGGUUGACCUCCAGACGCUCACAAACAAGAUCGUGGCAAGGCUGGCCGGCUGGAAAUUCAAGAUGCUUGCGACCGCAGGGCGCCUGGUGCUGCUCAACUCCGUCCUAUCGGCUUUCACGAUGCCGGCGUGGGUGCGCCUGCAGAUCGACAAGAUUCGGCGCGCAUGGCUAUGGAAGGGCCAGGAAUUCUGUCAUGGCGGACAUUGCAAGGUGGCCUGGGGGCGUAUCUGUAGACCACAUGAACUUGGUGGCCUUGGCAUCUUGGACCUGCAACGGUUUGGGGUGGCGCUGUGGCUGCGCUGGCUGGUGUGCAUGACGACGAUGAGGCCAUGUAUUGGGAUGCCUCUUCCGUGUUCCACGCUAAGACGGCUACUAUUCGCGGCUGCUACUACUGCAAUUGUCCGUGACGACAAGACGAUUUCUUUUGAAAAUUUGUGA
RNAcentral lists this ribosomal RNA (981 nucleotides) under Triticum aestivum (bread wheat). Its description in RNAcentral is "partial small subunit ribosomal RNA". Lineage: Eukaryota; Viridiplantae; Streptophyta; Magnoliopsida; Poales; Poaceae. The record is from RNAcentral.